UUUAUGGAGAGUUUGAUCCUGGCUCAGGAUGAACGCUGGCGGCGUGCCUAAUACAUGCAAGUCGAGCGAACGGACGAGAAGCUUGCUUCUCUGAUGUUAGCGGCGGACGGGUGAGUAACACGUGGAUAACCUACCUAUAAGACUGGGAUAACUUCGGGAAACCGGAGCUAAUACCGGAUAAUAUUUUGAACCGCAUGGUUCAAAAGUGAAAGACGGUCUUGCUGUCACUUAUAGAUGGAUCCGCGCUGCAUUAGCUAGUUGGUAAGGUAACGGCUUACCAAGGCAACGAUGCAUAGCCGACCUGAGAGGGUGAUCGGCCACACUGGAACUGAGACACGGUCCAGACUCCUACGGGAGGCAGCAGUAGGGAAUCUUCCGCAAUGGGCGAAAGCCUGACGGAGCAACGCCGCGUGAGUGAUGAAGGUCUUCGGAUCGUAAAACUCUGUUAUUAGGGAAGAACAUAUGUGUAAGUAACUGUGCACAUCUUGACGGUACCUAAUCAGAAAGCCACGGCUAACUACGUGCCAGCAGCCGCGGUAAUACGUAGGUGGCAAGCGUUAUCCGGAAUUAUUGGGCGUAAAGCGCGCGUAGGCGGUUUUUUAAGUCUGAUGUGAAAGCCCACGGCUCAACCGUGGAGGGUCAUUGGAAACUGGAAAACUUGAGUGCAGAAGAGGAAAGUGGAAUUCCAUGUGUAGCGGUGAAAUGCGCAGAGAUAUGGAGGAACACCAGUGGCGAAGGCGACUUUCUGGUCUGUAACUGACGCUGAUGUGCGAAAGCGUGGGGAUCAAACAGGAUUAGAUACCCUGGUAGUCCACGCCGUAAACGAUGAGUGCUAAGUGUUAGGGGGUUUCCGCCCUUAGUGCUGCAGCUAACGCAUUAAGCACUCCGCCUGGGGAGUACGACCGCAAGGUUGAAACUCAAAGGAAUUGACGGGGACCCGCACAAGCGGUGGAGCAUGUGGUUUAAUUCGAAGCAACGCGAAGAACCUUACCAAAUCUUGACAUCCUUUGACAACUCUAGAGAUAGAGCCUUCCCCUUCGGGGGACAAAGUGACAGGUGGUGCAUGGUUGUCGUCAGCUCGUGUCGUGAGAUGUUGGGUUAAGUCCCGCAACGAGCGCAACCCUUAAGCUUAGUUGCCAUCAUUAAGUUGGGCACUCUAAGUUGACUGCCGGUGACAAACCGGAGGAAGGUGGGGAUGACGUCAAAUCAUCAUGCCCCUUAUGAUUUGGGCUACACACGUGCUACAAUGGACAAUACAAAGGGCAGCGAAACCGCGAGGUCAAGCAAAUCCCAUAAAGUUGUUCUCAGUUCGGAUUGUAGUCUGCAACUCGACUACAUGAAGCUGGAAUCGCUAGUAAUCGUAGAUCAGCAUGCUACGGUGAAUACGUUCCCGGGUCUUGUACACACCGCCCGUCACACCACGAGAGUUUGUAACACCCGAAGCCGGUGGAGUAACCUUUUAGGAGCUAGCCGUCGAAGGUGGGACAAAUGAUUGGGGUGAAGUCGUAACAAGGUAGCCGUAUCGGAAGGUGCGGCUGGAUCACCUCCUUUCU
This 1553-nucleotide ribosomal RNA is filed under the name Staphylococcus aureus. RNAcentral describes it as "16S ribosomal RNA". It matches the Rfam family "Bacterial small subunit ribosomal RNA". The record is from RNAcentral. Lineage: Bacteria; Bacillati; Bacillota; Bacilli; Caryophanales; Staphylococcaceae.